GACGAACUUUGGCGGCGUGCUUAACACAUGCAAGUCGAACGGAAAGGCCCUGCUUUUGUGGGGUGCUCGAGUGGCGAACGGGUGAGUAACACGUGAGUAACCUGCCCUUGACUUUGGGAUAACUUCAGGAAACUGGGGCUAAUACCGGAUAGGAGCUCCUGCUGCAUGGUGGGGGUUGGAAAGUUUCGGCGGCUGGGGAUGGACUCGCGGCUUAUCAGCUUGUUGGUGGGGUAGUGGCUUACCAAGGCUUUGACGGGUAGCCGGCCUGAGAGGGUGACCGGCCACAUUGGGACUGAGAUACGGCCCAGACUCCUACGGGAGGCAGCAGUGGGGAAUACUGCACAAUGGGCGGAAGCCUGAUGCAGCAACGCCGCGUGCGGGAUGACGGCCUUCGGGUUGUAAACCGCUUUCGCCUGUGACGAAGCGUGAGUGACGGUAAUGGGUAAAGAAGCACCGGCUAACUACGUGCCAGCAGCCGCGGUGAUACGUAGGGUGCGAGCGUUGUCCGGAUUUAUUGGGCGUAAAGGGCUCGUAGGUGGUUGAUCGCGUCGGAAGUGUAAUCUUGGGGCUUAACCCUGAGCGUGCUUUCGAUACGGGUUGACUUGAGGAAGGUAGGGGAGAAUGGAAUUCCUGGUGGAGCGGUGGAAUGCGCAGAUAUCAGGAGGAACACCAGUGGCGAAGGCGGUUCUCUGGGCCUUUCCUGACGCUGAGGAGCGAAAGCGUGGGGAGCGAACAGGCUUAGAUACCCUGGUAGUCCACGCUGUAAACGGUGGGUACUAGGUGUGGGGUCCAUUCCACGGGUUCCGUGCCGUAGCUAACGCUUUAAGUACCCCGCCUGGGGAGUACGGCCGCAAGGCUAAAACUCAAAGGAAUUGACGGGGCCCCGCACAAGCGGCGGAGCAUGCGGAUUAAUUCGAUGCAACGCGUAGAACCUUACCUGGGUUUGACAUGGAUCGGGAGUGCUCAGAGAUGGGUGUGCCUCUUUUGGGGUCGGUUCACAGGUGGUGCAUGCCUGUCGUCAGCUCGUGUCGUGAGAUGUUGGGUUAAGUCCCGCAACGAGCGCAACCCUUGUUCACUGUUGCCAGCACGUUAUGGUGGGGACUCAGUGGAGACCGCCGGGGUCAACUCGGAGGAAGGUGGGGAUGACGUCAAGUCAUCAUGCCCCUUAUGUCCAGGGCUUCACGCAUGCUACAAUGGCUGGUACAGAGAGUGGCGAGCCUGUGAGGGUGAGCGAAUCUCGGAAAGCCGGUCUCAGUUCGGAUUGGGGUCUGCAACUCGACCUCAUGAAGUCGGAGUCGCUAGUAAUCGCAGAUCAGCAACGCUGCGGUGAAUACGUUCCCGGGGCU
Molecule: ribosomal RNA, 1346 nt
Filed under: uncultured bacterium
Lineage: Bacteria
Description: partial 16S ribosomal RNA
Rfam family: Bacterial small subunit ribosomal RNA
Source: RNAcentral